CCUACGGGAGGCAGCAGUUAGGAAUUUUGGGCAAUGGGCGAAAGCCUGACCCAGCAACGCCGCGUGGGUGACGAAGGCCUUCGGGUUGUAAAGCCCUUUUCUCGGGGAAGAUGAUGACGGUACCCGAGGAAGAAGCACCGGCUAACUACGUGCCAGCAGCCGCGGUAAUACGUAGGGUGCGAGCGUUGCCCGGAUUUAUUGGGCGUAAAGGGCGCGCAGGCGGUACGGCACGUCCGUUGUGAAAUCGCUCGGCUCAACUGGGCGGGGUCAGCGGAUACGGCCGUACUUGAGCAAGCUAGGGGGCAAUGGAAUUCCCGGUGUAGUGGUGGAAUGCGUAGAUAUCGGGAGGAACACCAGUGGCGAAGGCGGUUGCCUGGAGCUUUGCUGACGCUGAGGCGCGAAAGCGUGGGGAGCGAUCCGGAUUAGAUACCCUUGUAGUC
This 440-nucleotide ribosomal RNA is filed under the name uncultured bacterium. RNAcentral describes it as "bacterial SSU rRNA". It matches the Rfam family "Bacterial small subunit ribosomal RNA", at positions 338 to 795 of the family's 1533-position model. The record is from RNAcentral.